GUCCACGCCCUAAACGAUGUCAACUAGGUGUUGGGAGGGUAAAACCUUUUAGUACCGUAGCUAACGCGUGAAGUUGACCGCCUGGGGAGUACGGCCGCAAGGUUAAAACUCAAAGGAAUUGACGGGGACCCGCACAAGCGGUGGAUGAUGUGGAUUAAUUCGAUGCAACGCGAAAACCUUACCUACCCUUGACAUGUCCAGAAGCUCUUAGAGAUUUGAGUGUGCCCGAAAGGGAACUGGAACACAGGUGCUGCAUGGCUGUCGU
Molecule: ribosomal RNA, 265 nt
Filed under: uncultured bacterium
Lineage: Bacteria
Description: partial 16S ribosomal RNA
Rfam family: Bacterial small subunit ribosomal RNA
Source: RNAcentral